CAUUACUGAGUUUACGCUCUACAACCCUUUGUGAACAUACCUAUAACUGUUGCUUCGGCGGGUAGGGUCCCCGUGACCCUCCCGGCCUCCCGCCCCCGGGCGGGUCGGCGCCCGCCGGAGGAUAACCAAACUCUGAUUUAACGACGUUUCUUCUGAGUGGUACAAGCAAAUAAUCAAAACUUUUAACAACGGAUCUCUUGGUUCUGGCAUCGAUGAAGAACGCAGCGAAAUGCGAUAAGUAAUGUGAAUUGCAGAAUUCAGUGAAUCAUCGAAUCUUUGAACGCACAUUGCGCCCGCCAGCAUUCUGGCGGGCAUGCCUGUUCGAGCGUCAUUUCAACCCUCAAGCUCUGCUUGGUGUUGGGGCCCUACAGCUGAUGUAGGCCCUCAAAGGUAGUGGCGGACCCUCCCGGAGCCUCCUUUGCGUAGUAACUUUACGUCUCGCACUGGGAUCCGGAGGGACUCUUGCCGUAAAACCCCCCAAUUUUCCAAAGGUUGACCUCGGAUCAGGUAGGAAUACCCGCUGAACUUAAGCAUAUCAA
Molecule: ribosomal RNA, 539 nt
Filed under: Colletotrichum fructicola
Lineage: Eukaryota; Fungi; Ascomycota; Sordariomycetes; Glomerellales; Glomerellaceae
Also listed under: 1 other name
Description: eukaryotic LSU rRNA
Rfam family: 5.8S ribosomal RNA (bases 178-331)
Source: RNAcentral